CGAUGAUGGGAGCUUGCUCCUGGAUUAGUGGCGAACGGGUGAGUAACACGUGAGUAACCUGCCCUUAACUCUGGGAUAAGCCUGGGAAACUGGGUCUAAUACCGGAUAUGACUCCUCAUCGCAUGGUGGGGGGUGGAAAGCUUUUUGUGGUUUUGGAUGGACUCGCGGCCUAUCAGCUUGUUGGUGAGGUAAUGGCUUACCAAGGCGACGACGGGUAGCCGGCCUGAGAGGGUGACCGGCCACACUGGGACUGAGACACGGCCCAGACUCCUACGGGAGGCAGCAGUGGGGAAUAUUGCACAAUGGGCGCAAGCCUGAUGCAGCGACGCCGCGUGAGGGAUGACGGCCUUCGGGUUGUAAACCUCUUUCAGUAGGGAAGAAGCGAAAGUGACGGUACCUGCAGAAGAAGCGCCGGCUAACUACGUGCCAG
This 430-nucleotide ribosomal RNA is filed under the name Pseudarthrobacter scleromae. RNAcentral describes it as "bacterial SSU rRNA". It matches the Rfam family "Bacterial small subunit ribosomal RNA", at positions 67 to 511 of the family's 1533-position model. Lineage: Bacteria; Bacillati; Actinomycetota; Actinomycetes; Micrococcales; Micrococcaceae. The record is from RNAcentral.